Molecule: ribosomal RNA, 253 nt
Filed under: uncultured bacterium
Lineage: Bacteria
Description: partial 16S ribosomal RNA
Rfam family: Bacterial small subunit ribosomal RNA
Source: RNAcentral
UACGUAGGGCGCAAGCGUUGUCCGGAAUUAUUGGGCGUAAAGAGCUCGUAGGCGGUUUGUCGCGUCGUUUGUGAAAACUCACAGCUCAACUGUGAGCCUGCAGGCGAUACGGGCAGACUUGAGUACUGCAGGGGAGACUGGAAUUCCUGGUGUAGCGGUGGAAUGCGCAGAUAUCAGGAGGAACACCGAUGGCGAAGGCAGGUCUCUGGGCCGCAACUGACGCUGAGGAGCGAAAGCAUGGGGAGCGAACAGG